GACGAACGCUGGCGGCGUGCCUAAUACAUGCAAGUUGAGCGCUGAAGGUUGGUACUUGUACCAACUGGAUGAGCAGCGAACGGGUGAGUAACGCGUGGGGAAUCUGCCUUUGAGCGGGGGACAACAUUUGGAAACGAAUGCUAAUACCGCAUAAAAUCUUUAAACACAAGUUUUAAGUGUGAAAGAUGCAAUUGCAUCACUCAAAGAUGAUCCCGCGUUGUAUUAGGUAGGUGGUGAGGUAAAGGCUCACCAAGGCGAGGAUACAUAGCCGAACUGAGAGGGUGGAUAGCCAACUUGGGAAGGGGACCCGGCCCAAUGCGCCUACGGGAGGAGCCAUAGGGAAACUUCGGGAAGGGACGGAAGGCUUAACGGAGUACGCCGCGGGAGGGAAGAAGGGUUUCGGGUCCUAAAACUCGGUUUGUAGGGAAGAAAGUUGGUGAGAGUGGAAAGCUCAUCAAGUGACGGUAACUACCCAGAAAGGGACGGCUAACUACGUG
Molecule: ribosomal RNA, 497 nt
Filed under: uncultured bacterium
Lineage: Bacteria
Description: partial 16S ribosomal RNA
Rfam family: Bacterial small subunit ribosomal RNA
Source: RNAcentral